RNAcentral lists this small RNA (27 nucleotides) under Bombyx mori (domestic silkworm). RNAcentral's name for it is "ovarian small RNA-3521". Lineage: Eukaryota; Metazoa; Arthropoda; Insecta; Lepidoptera; Bombycidae. The record is from RNAcentral.
UGAAAGUGCCACGUAAUUCCCUGUUGA